Molecule: ribosomal RNA, 278 nt
Filed under: uncultured Alternaria
Lineage: Eukaryota; Fungi; Ascomycota; Dothideomycetes; Pleosporales; Pleosporaceae
Description: partial 18S ribosomal RNA
Rfam family: Eukaryotic small subunit ribosomal RNA
Source: RNAcentral
CAAUUAUACCGUGAAACUGCGAAUGGCUCAUUAAAUCAGUUAUCGUUUAUUUGAUAAUACCUUACUACUUGGAUAACCGUGGUAAUUCUAGAGCUAAUACAUGCUGAAAAUCCCGACUUCGGAAGGGAUGUGUUUAUUAGAUAAAAAACCAAUGCCCUUCGGGGCUUUUUGGUGAUUCAUGAUAACUUUACGGAUCGCAUAGCCUUGCGCUGGCGACGGUUCAUUCAAAUUUCUGCCCUAUCAACUUUCNAUGGUAAGGUAUUGGCUUACCAUGGUUU